UGGGGAAUAUUGGACAAUGGGCGAAAGCCUGAUCCAGCUAUGCCGCAUGAGUGAAGAAGGCCUUUGGGUUGUAAAGUUCUUUUAGUGAGGAAGAUAAUGACGGUACUCACAGAAGAAGUCCUGGCUAACUCCGUGCCAGCAGCCGCGGUAAUACGGAGAGGGCUAGCGUUAUUCGGAAUUAUUGGGCGUAAAGGGCGCGUAGGCUGGUUAAUAAGUUAAAAGUGAAAUCCCGAGGCUUAACCUUGGAAUUGCUUUUAAAACUAUUAAUCUAGAGAUUGAAAGAGGAUAGAGGAAUUCCUGAUGUAGAGGUAAAAUUCGUAAAUAUUAGGAGGAACACCAGUGGCGAAGGCGUCUAUCUGGUUCAAAUCUGACGCUGAAGCGCGAAGGCGUGGGGAGCAAACA
This 402-nucleotide ribosomal RNA is filed under the name uncultured bacterium. RNAcentral's name for it is "bacterial SSU rRNA". It matches the Rfam family "Bacterial small subunit ribosomal RNA", at positions 355 to 774 of the family's 1533-position model. The record is from RNAcentral.